GGGUUGUGAGGUUAAGCGACUAAGCGUACACGGUGGAUGCCCUGGCAGUCAGAGGCGAUGAAGGACGUGCUAAUCUGCGAUAAGCGUCGGUAAGGUGAUAUGAACCGUUAUAACCGGCGAUUUCCGAAUGGGGAAACCCAGUGUGUUUCGACACACUAUCAUUAACUGAAUCCAUAGGUUAAUGAGGCGAACCGGGGGAACUGAAACAUCUAAGUACCCCGAGGAAAAGAAAUCAACCGAGAUUCCCCCAGUAGCGGCGAGCGAACGGGGAGCAGCCCAGAGCCUGAAUCAGUGUGUGUGUUAGUGGAAGCGUCUGGAAAGGCGCGCGAUACAGGGUGACAGCCCCGUACACAAAAAUGCACAUGCUGUGAGCUCGAUGAGUAGGGCGGGACACGUGGUAUCCUGUCUGAAUAUGGGGGGACCAUCCUCCAAGGCUAAAUACUCCUGACUGACCGAUAGUGAACCAGUACCGUGAGGGAAAGGCGAAAAGAACCCCGGCGAGGGGAGUGAAAAAGAACCUGAAACCGUGUACGUACAAGCAGUGGGAGCACGCUUAGGCGUGUGACUGCGUACCUUUUGUAUAAUGGGUCAGCGACUUAUAUUCUGUAGCAAGGUUAACCGAAUAGGGGAGCCGAAGGGAAACCGAGUCUUAACUGGGCGUUAAGUUGCAGGGUAUAGACCCGAAACCCGGUGAUCUAGCCAUGGGCAGGUUGAAGGUUGGGUAACACUAACUGGAGGACCGAACCGACUAAUGUUGAAAAAUUAGCGGAUGACUUGUGGCUGGGGGUGAAAGGCCAAUCAAACCGGGAGAUAGCUGGUUCUCCCCGAAAGCUAUUUAGGUAGCGCCUCGUGAAUUCAUCUCCGGGGGUAGAGCACUGUUUCGGCAAGGGGGUCAUCCCGACUUACCAACCCGAUGCAAACUGCGAAUACCGGAGAAUGUUAUCACGGGAGACACACGGCGGGUGCUAACGUCCGUCGUGAAGAGGGAAACAACCCAGACCGCCAGCUAAGGUCCCAAAGUCAUGGUUAAGUGGGAAACGAUGUGGGAAGGCCCAGACAGCCAGGAUGUUGGCUUAGAAGCAGCCAUCAUUUAAAGAAAGCGUAAUAGCUCACUGGUCGAGUCGGCCUGCGCGGAAGAUGUAACGGGGCUAAACCAUGCACCGAAGCUGCGGCAGCGACGCUUAUGCGUUGUUGGGUAGGGGAGCGUUCUGUAAGCCUGUGAAGGUGUACUGUGAGGUAUGCUGGAGGUAUCAGAAGUGCGAAUGCUGACAUAAGUAACGAUAAAGCGGGUGAAAAGCCCGCUCGCCGGAAGACCAAGGGUUCCUGUCCAACGUUAAUCGGGGCAGGGUGAGUCGACCCCUAAGGCGAGGCCGAAAGGCGUAGUCGAUGGGAAACAGGUUAAUAUUCCUGUACUUGGUGUUACUGCGAAGGGGGGACGGAGAAGGCUAUGUUGGCCGGGCGACGGUUGUCCCGGUUUAAGCGUGUAGGCUGGUUUUCCAGGCAAAUCCGGAAAAUCAAGGCUGAGGCGUGAUGACGAGGCACUACGGUGCUGAAGCAACAAAUGCCCUGCUUCCAGGAAAAGCCUCUAAGCAUCAGGUAACAUCAAAUCGUACCCCAAACCGACACAGGUGGUCAGGUAGAGAAUACCAAGGCGCUUGAGAGAACUCGGGUGAAGGAACUAGGCAAAAUGGUGCCGUAACUUCGGGAGAAGGCACGCUGAUAUGUAGGUGAAGUCCCUCGCGGAUGGAGCUGAAAUCAGUCGAAGAUACCAGCUGGCUGCAACUGUUUAUUAAAAACACAGCACUGUGCAAACACGAAAGUGGACGUAUACGGUGUGACGCCUGCCCGGUGCCGGAAGGUUAAUUGAUGGGGUUAGCGCAAGCGAAGCUCUUGAUCGAAGCCCCGGUAAACGGCGGCCGUAACUAUAACGGUCCUAAGGUAGCGAAAUUCCUUGUCGGGUAAGUUCCGACCUGCACGAAUGGCGUAAUGAUGGCCAGGCUGUCUCCACCCGAGACUCAGUGAAAUUGAACUCGCUGUGAAGAUGCAGUGUACCCGCGGCAAGACGGAAAGACCCCGUGAACCUUUACUAUAGCUUGACACUGAACAUUGAGCCUUGAUGUGUAGGAUAGGUGGGAGGCUUUGAAGUGUGGACGCCAGUCUGCAUGGAGCCGACCUUGAAAUACCACCCUUUAAUGUUUGAUGUUCUAACGUUGACCCGUAAUCCGGGUUGCGGACAGUGUCUGGUGGGUAGUUUGACUGGGGCGGUCUCCUCCUAAAGAGUAACGGAGGAGCACGAAGGUUGGCUAAUCCUGGUCGGACAUCAGGAGGUUAGUGCAAUGGCAUAAGCCAGCUUGACUGCGAGCGUGACGGCGCGAGCAGGUGCGAAAGCAGGUCAUAGUGAUCCGGUGGUUCUGAAUGGAAGGGCCAUCGCUCAACGGAUAAAAGGUACUCCGGGGAUAACAGGCUGAUACCGCCCAAGAGUUCAUAUCGACGGCGGUGUUUGGCACCUCGAUGUCGGCUCAUCACAUCCUGGGGCUGAAGUAGGUCCCAAGGGUAUGGCUGUUCGCCAUUUAAAGUGGUACGCGAGCUGGGUUUAGAACGUCGUGAGACAGUUCGGUCCCUAUCUGCCGUGGGCGCUGGAGAACUGAGGGGGGCUGCUCCUAGUACGAGAGGACCGGAGUGGACGCAUCACUGGUGUUCGGGUUGUCAUGCCAAUGGCACUGCCCGGUAGCUAAAUGCGGAAGAGAUAAGUGCUGAAAGCAUCUAAGCACGAAACUUGCCCCGAGAUGAGUUCUCCCUGACUCCUUGAGAGUCCUGAAGGAACGUUGAAGACGACGACGUUGAUAGGCCGGGUGUGUAAGCGCAGCGAUGCGUUGAGCUAACCGGUACUAAUGAACCGUGAGGCUUAACCUUACAACGCCGAAGCUGUU
This 2930-nucleotide ribosomal RNA is filed under the name Escherichia coli. RNAcentral's name for it is "23S ribosomal RNA". It matches the Rfam family "Bacterial large subunit ribosomal RNA". Lineage: Bacteria; Pseudomonadati; Pseudomonadota; Gammaproteobacteria; Enterobacterales; Enterobacteriaceae. The record is from RNAcentral.